Molecule: unclassified non-coding RNA, 210 nt
Filed under: fungal sp.
Lineage: Eukaryota; Fungi
Description: partial internal transcribed spacer region
Rfam family: Eukaryotic small subunit ribosomal RNA (bases 1-46)
Source: RNAcentral
AAGUCGUAACAAGGUUUCCGUAGGUGAACCUGCGGAAGGAUCAUUACUGAGUGAUGGGGCCACGCGCCCCUGCUCCCAUCCUAUGGUGACACGCAGAAGUGUUGCUUCCGGCUUUGCUGGACAGCAGUUUUAAGCUCAAGUGGUAGACAUUUGCUCUGAUCGUAUUGAUAAAUCAAACAAAAACUUUCAACAACGGAUCUCUUGGUUCCG